GAUGAACGCUGGCGGCGUGCCUAAUACAUGCAAGUCGAGCGAACGGACGAGAAGCGUGCUUCGCUGAUGUUAGCGGCGGACGGGUGAGUAACACGUGGAUAACCUACCUAUAAGACUGGGAUAAGUUCGGGAAACCGGAGAUAAUACCGGAUGAGAGUGUGAACCGCAGGGUUCAAAAGAGAAAGACGGUCUUGAUGUCACUUAGAGAGGGAUCCGCGCUGCAUUAGCUAGUUGGUAAGGUAACGGCUUACCAAGGCAACGAUGCAUAGCCGACCUGAGAGGGUGAUCGGCCACACUGGAACUGAGACACGGUCCAGACUCCUACGGGAGGCAGCAGUAGGGAAUCUUCCGCAAUGGGCGAAAGCCUGACGGAGCCACGCCGCGUGAGUGAUGAAGGUCUUCGGAUCGUAAAACUCUUUUAUUAGGGAAGAACAUAUGUGUAAGUAACUGUGCACAUCUUGACGGUACCUACUCAGAAAGCCACGGCUAACUACGUG
This 497-nucleotide ribosomal RNA is filed under the name uncultured bacterium. RNAcentral describes it as "partial 16S ribosomal RNA". It matches the Rfam family "Bacterial small subunit ribosomal RNA", at positions 28 to 507 of the family's 1533-position model. The record is from RNAcentral.